Molecule: ribosomal RNA, 253 nt
Filed under: uncultured bacterium
Lineage: Bacteria
Description: partial 16S ribosomal RNA
Rfam family: Bacterial small subunit ribosomal RNA
Source: RNAcentral
UACAGAGGGUGCGAGCGUUGUUCGGAAUUAUUGGGCGUAAAGGGCGCGUCGGCGGUGCGGUAAGUCACCUGUGAAAUCUCCUGGCUCAACUGGGAGCUUGCAGGCGAAACUGCCGUGCUGGAGUGUGGGAGAGGUGCGUGGAAUUCCUGGUGUAGCGGUGAAAUGCGCAGAUAUCAGGAAGAACACCCGUGGCGAAGGCGGCUCUCUGGGACGGUACUGACGCUGAGACGCGAAAGCGUGGGGAGCGAACAGG